Ochotona curzoniae (black-lipped pika) is the source of this 306-nucleotide long non-coding RNA. RefSeq lists it as uncharacterized. The transcript has 3 exons. The record is from RefSeq and is a predicted model, not a curated record. NCBI's taxonomy places the organism in Eukaryota, Metazoa, Chordata, Mammalia, Lagomorpha, Ochotonidae.
GAAAUGGGGGUUGGGAGAACCUGUAUUUGCUAGUGGCUACAACAACCCAGGCUGAGCUAGACAGAAGACAAGAAUCCAUCUGUAUAUUCUGUCCAAGCACCUGGACCGUCUUCUGCUGCUUUCCACUGGAGACCUCCAAGUGCAAACGUGUCUGGAUUCUCAUCUGUUUGCGCCUCUGACCAGCAGGGGGCAUCUGCCAGAUCGCCUGGGGAGCACCUUCCGCAGAGGGAACCUUGAGGAGUGCACAAGCGACAGGCAGCUUUGCUCCAGCUCUACCUGGCUGUAGGAAGAUACUUUCCAAGAUCA